GCGUGAUUUGAUACGUGAAAAUUCUCGAGCUAAUUUCGUCUGGAGCUGUAAUAAAACUCGCUUAUGGAGUCGAACCUAUCGGGAGUAUCAAUUGACAUGUAAAAAAUUGCCUUUUUACGUCAAGGUGGUUGCCAAAUUUUAGUCGGCUGUGAAAUACACAAAUUUUAGCGUUCGAUUGAUUGGGCAGGCUUUCAGGUCUCCCAUGAGACAUGCCUCCCAGGUCAAGAAAACAUUCAAGCCCAUUCAUAUACAGAUAACCUUGAUAAUUGCAUUCAAUGGAUAUACCUUUAACCAAAUCUAACUUUAUGUUUUAACCAAAAGACAAUGGUUAAUCAGAAUUAUUACGAAUCUGGGUCGGCUCUGAAAGAUUUAAAGGCUUGCCCGAAUUCUAAAAGCAAAAUCUGCUAAGCUAAAUCUGGA
This 420-nucleotide small RNA is filed under the name Drosophila virilis. RNAcentral's name for it is "GJ26327". The record is from RNAcentral. Lineage: Eukaryota; Metazoa; Arthropoda; Insecta; Diptera; Drosophilidae.